AAAGUGUCCAUUGUAUAGUGGCUCAACUGUAUGACAUUUUUUCUCUCUUUUCCUUGUAGGGUGAAUUAGUUCGUUGCUGGUCCAUUAAUUGCUGUAAUUAUAUUUAUUAUCACUGGAGUCCUCUCAAUGCUUAUCCUAUUAUUAUUGCAUGGGAAUAUUACCAGAAGAACAUGAAUAAUUCAUUUGUUACGUAUGAUUUGGAAAAUGAAAGACUACUGAUAUCAGAGAGUUAAUAAAGACAUUCUUGAGACAAUCGGAUCAUGUGAUCAAUUAAUGACUGUGUCUAGGUUAGUCGUGAUCCCUACCUACAAGAACCUCCUCAGCUGAAACUGUGUUUAUGGACUUGGGUGUGAUUAUCACCAGCACACGGAAGCAACAAUUUGCAGCAAAGAGCUCUGAUGUAGAGGCCCAUACAAGAAGCUAAUGAAUAGAGAAUGAGUCACUAUUGGUG
Molecule: long non-coding RNA, 451 nt
Organism: Amphimedon queenslandica
Lineage: Eukaryota; Metazoa; Porifera; Demospongiae; Haplosclerida; Niphatidae
Exons: 4
Source: RefSeq, a predicted model, not a curated record